Molecule: ribosomal RNA, 428 nt
Filed under: uncultured bacterium
Lineage: Bacteria
Description: partial 16S ribosomal RNA
Rfam family: Bacterial small subunit ribosomal RNA
Source: RNAcentral
GUCGAGAAUCUUCCGCAAUGCGCGAAAGCGUGACGGAGCGACACCGCGUGAUGGAUGAAGUCCUUCGGGGCGUAAACAUCUUUUAUAAAGGAGGAAAUUUUUGACGUUACUUUAUGAAUAAGGGGCUCCCAAUCUCGUGCCAGCAGGAGCGGUAAUACGAGAGCCUCAAGCGUUAUCCGGAAUCAUUGGGCGUAAAGGGUGCGUAGGUGGUUUGAUUAGUCUCCCGUUAAAACUUCGAGCUUAAAUCGAAAAGAGCGGGGGAAACGGUCAAACUAGAGUAUGUGAGAGGUGUGUGGAACUCAUGGUGUAGGGGUGAAAUCCGUUGAUAUCAUGGGGAACACCAAAAGCGAAGGCAGCACACUGGCACAUCACUGACACUGAGGCACGAAACCUAAGGUAGCGAAUGGGAUUAGAAACCCCUGUAGUCC